CGCGUAGGUGGAUUGUUAAGUCAGAUGUGAAAUCCCCGGGCUCAACCUGGGAAUUGCAUUUGAUACUGGCAGUCUAGAGUAUGGUAGAGGGUAGUGGAAUUCCCGGUGUAGCAGUGAAAUGCGUAGAUAUCGGGAGGAACAUCAGUGGCGAAGGCGACUACCUGGACCAAUACUGACACUGAGGCGCGAAAGCGUGGGUAGCGAAC
Molecule: ribosomal RNA, 206 nt
Filed under: uncultured bacterium
Lineage: Bacteria
Description: partial 16S ribosomal RNA
Rfam family: Bacterial small subunit ribosomal RNA
Source: RNAcentral